This is a long non-coding RNA of Cephus cinctus (wheat stem sawfly), 4792 nucleotides long. RefSeq lists it as uncharacterized. The transcript has 2 exons. NCBI's taxonomy places the organism in Eukaryota, Metazoa, Arthropoda, Insecta, Hymenoptera, Cephidae. The record is from RefSeq and is a predicted model, not a curated record.
UGCUUGUGCUUAUAAAUAUAGUGUUGAACUGUGAUAUUUCUUAUGAGUAACAUGUCUCGACAAUGUUUUAAACAUUGAAUUUACUGUGGUUAACAUGGAGUGGAAUCCGUUAUGGGUACCCAUUAUGGCAUUGGCAUACAUGCGAGUAGGGAAGGUCGAUGUAUCGCUGUGGGAUAAUCCUCUUUUGGUUGUGCUGUCUAUGGGGUGUCUGUACCUAAUAUGGCGGCUUUAUUAUUUAACGGCUUUGCUAAUGGGAGCUUCCUUCCCUUGUAUAGGGACAUAUGUCUUAUAGUAUUGCCGAAAGAUGGCAGGAGGGAGAGUAGAGCGAGUGAUGGUUGCGGCUGUAGUUAAAUACAUUAUUAGAUAUUGUGCUAAUUAGUCACUGAAAAUUUUUAUUUUAUUAGAUUAUGCUUACGGAUACCUAAAAUAUUGUGAUUAUCCUGCUGGUACUAUAACGCGGAUAUCUUCGAUCAUAUUGCCCCGUAGUAAAACACAGUAUCUAUUAGCAGGUAUAGAGGUAGUAAAGCGGACAACGCUAACAAAACAGUCUGGUUCUUUAUUCAGGUUAGGUAUAUUUGGAUAAGGACAAUUUUUGUUUGAUUCAUCGUUUGGGAUAUUUGGCACAAAUCGAAAUUGUCCGAAGCCGAAGUGCUUAUUCAUUUUUGUAUGUAUGAUGGAAAUUUAGAUCGAUUUCAAGACCCGAGGUAAUAUUAACUUUGUUGGUCUCCAAAAAAUUUUUUAUUCAUAUAAAAAUUGAAUGCUGCUUUGACUUAUAACGAAUUUUCUAAAUAUUUUACAAAAAUUUCACUUAAGAUAUUUAAUGAUGUGGCUGUCUUACUGUAAAUGAAACUCUUGCGGAGGCUCCCCAAUGAAAAAGUUAAUUUUUGAAAGAAACGGUGUGCAAGUGGCGCCGACCUACGACUCAAGAUGUUUACUCAGGAGUUUCAAGCUGGUCGGAGACAGAGGGAUGAAAUUCGAGGUACCGUUACCGGUGUGGUUCGACCGCAAGGAACCAGGACUCACUGGUACUCCCGCAGGAGCCAAGGAACCUGGCUGUGAUCACAGCCCAGGGGCCCGUGGGAUGACGGGACGCAUCUGCGAUGGCGCCACGGCGAUUUGUUUAUUUUACUUUUGGGAACUUUGACUAACCAUCCCUCGCUAGUCAAACUCUGGGGUUAAUGAGGUCGUUAACGAAGGCUUAACUAAUUCCGCUCUACCACCUAGGUAGGUAGCUAAUAUGUGAGCCUUUAAGUCUGAACUCAAUAACACUGCGUUAUCAAACAUAAAUAUCCAUGAUGGUUUGACGUGGCUGAUCUGGCGGUCUUGAGUGAAUUCGUUAACGAUCGAGUGAAUUAGACUAAAUUAUAUAAAGAAUUUAACAAAAAUUAUAGUGUUCACUCGUCAAUUAAUUAUUUUAUAUUAAAAUUUGUUAAUCCUAAAUCAAAGUCCCUGGCAAAAUUAAACAUGGUGCAGGUAUUUAAUUAUUCAUAUCUGACUUUAUAUGUUAUUUAUAUUUUUCAGCACAGUAUGUAUUAUGUCUGAUUUAUUCCAAUUAUACAUAGCAGGUUGGCCAACGUUUUCACGGUACUCCGACUUUAUUAUGAUUUUAAUCCCGGUUUGCAAAUUCGCACAGCGGACCACAAUUUCGCGGAUGAAUCGGCGAGUGCAUCGGGUGUCGUUCGACCGUAAUAUCGUGUCCAUUUUACUGAAUACAUAGAAAAUUUUUAUAUUCCUCUACAGCCAUUUUACAACCAAGUACCCAUUUCACAAAUUGUACGCAUGACAUAUCACGCUUCAAACCUUGACAUACGUACUUCUUGUAGAAAAAUAUUAAAUCGAGGGUUUAUUUUGGUACACCGUAUUCCCAUACUGUUUCCUACUCUUAAUAAGUAACAUUCCAGUCAUACCUAUAGUCGUUGAAGAAAAAGAUUGAAAAAAAAAAAGAAAAAGUAUGUUCGCAAGUAAAUGCACUCCCAGAGAAGACAGGGGCUAUUCUUGUUGUCUUUAGGGGUGGCGCUCGUCAAUCCGAGAGACGUCAAGACGAAACGUGGUGGCGCCAGGAAUGAAGUAUAGAAACGCAGCCAGCGCAGGAAGUGCCGGGAACUCGAUAUCGCCGGCAGCAAAUACGUCUUCCAAGCUGUUUGUUGUUACAUCUUAGUCUGGCGAACGGGUGGCCUUUUAAAAGCGACAACUUUUCAACAAAUUCUCCAGCUCUUAAACGAUUUUCCAAGGACAACUAUAGGAUUCGCAAAUCAUUUUAAACAUCUGUGCAGAAUACCAAAUGGGAAUAGGAAGUAUUUGAUAAAACAGUGGAGACUGGACGCCAUGAUGAUGGGACGGAGGAAAGGAAAGUUUUGGACAUAUUUCAAGUUUACGAUACCACUCGACUCAGGGCAGUCAAUAAAGUUAUCGAUCCAAAGUGGUCCCCCGUUUGUCGAUCCCGUGUAAACUUGCACCAGGUCGUCUCAUGGAGACGCUACGUAUAGAUGAACGGUGCAGGCAGGUUGGCGAAUUGUCGUCAGUCGUACAAGCGACAGGUUCUCUUGCCUUUACUACAGUAGUAGGUGUAGACUUCAUAGAAACCAUAGAGUACAGAGCGAAGAGUACGUACUGUACCUACUGUACCCAGCACCUUCAAAGUCCAGGUCUAUAAGGGCUGCACCGACAAUAAACUAUGCAAAUGCGAAAUGCACUGGACAAGUACACAGGGAGGUCACAUCUGGAAGUAAUUACGAAGGGGAUGGAUGGAUGGUCCUUGGCUCAGGUGCAAAACUUUUAAGGAGGGUAUCCUCGCGAACGUGAGGAUUCCCCAGGAACCGGGAUUACCGUUGGUAUGCUCUUUAGGUAUUGCUUGCGAAAGAAGUCGCGAUACGAUCUUCUGUUGUGUCGCCAUAACCUGCUACGUUCAUGUUUCUGCUCCGAUCCCAUGAAAUAUUUUGUUUUACACGGAUGAACAUAGAUUUUCGCUCUUUUUCAAUUUUCAUGUAUCGAGUUAGUACAGAAAUUAAUCAAGCAUAUAUCUGUGCUAAAUUAUCAGAACUGUCUCAUAUUUUUUUUGUCGUGAUAAAUCUAGCAAUCUGUAAUUAUUUUCUUUUACCUGUAAAUAUAUCAGUAAUUAAUUAUUUAACCUGGCGUAGAACGUCACGCGAGCAUUACCCGCUUUCGAUUAAAAGACCGAUUGUAAUUAUCGCGUUUCACACGUACACGAAUGAAAAAUUAAUAAGUCUUGUACAGCGUAUCACUGUCUUUUAUUUAAUAGUAAUAUCUAAAGUUACCUCACAUACGUGUCAGAAUUAGCAUAUCUAACCUCAAAAUUUGUAUAUCUAGCCUCAAGCGUUGAAUAAUUUUGAUGUCACUAUGUAAAUGCUACGAAUCUUAGAAUACAUAAGUACUGUACUAUAAGGUAUCAUGUAUUGCACGGAGUGAGAUGGAAACCGAGAAAAUUAUUUUCGUGUAAUCUGCCGAUUUCGGAUAAUAUUAGUAAUACACAGUAUCCCCGAGGAACGUGCCUUCUCUCGAAUUGCGGGGACUUGGGGUACCAGCUCGGGUACGAUCCAAGAAAUGGAAGUAGGUAUUUAAGAAGCAUUCACCUAUUUGGCAUUGUAAGCCGGACACUUUUCGACAACUGACACGAAAGAUCGCCGAGAGGAUCGGUAUUGAUCGUAAGCGGCUUGCUCGGUGGGUUUUACCUUUGUGCCCUGGGUACGGAGUAUUUGUGUCCCGCAGUUCACACCUUGGCAUAAUGCCGCGUCCGAAAAGCAGGACACAUUUGGCAACCAUUAUAUCCGACUACGGGGCUCCGACAACCCCCUUCGACUCGCUACUGUAUUAUAUCCCGAUCUAUGUAAAAUGGGGAAGCGUGUACACGCUCGUGCAUAUAUAUCUAUAUACACAUGUAUAUACGACAUUACGUAGUAGGAAUAAUGUAUCCCUCGUCCAUUUAAACGAGCCUUGCGCCAUGUUAUAGGUCGCCUAGAGGAUCAAAGUUGCCAUAUUUUUUUUAAGAACUCGUCACAAUCGACUAAUCAUUGAUAAGAAUUGAACGCGCGUUAGCCAGUAUACAAAUAUUGUUACCAAUUUAUCUUCGUUCGUUUUUUAAUCCUGUAUCCAUAAUUUUCUCGUUAUUUUAUUAAUCGUGCGUUCGCGACAUGAUCGCCUCUUUUUAUUGUGACUGCGAAUUUUUUUUAACGUCCAAUGUUAAUUAUUGUUUCUUGCUUUUUUUUUUAUUUCCUCCAUCAGUUUUCAUCGCCGCGAUAUACGUUCGGUACUCUUAUUGUUAGACAAAGGCGCAGUUGUCGAAAGCAUGACUACUGGGGAUAACAAAAAAAAAUAUAUCUUCUUUACGUAUUACAUGUAUACAGAGAGGAGUGCGUUUAUGUUUUGUAUAGGGUUCCAUAAGUUCAUCGCGGGCGCGCUGAUGCGUAUGUAAUCCCGUGAUGCUUACCGAUAGCAUCAUGGGUUUUAUUUUCAUUAUUCAUUUGUUCGACGUUCCCCAUGGACGGUCGCAGGCUUACACGCAUAACCCCAUGUUUCCUUGUCGGUUUAAUCAGAUAAAACCCACAGGCCAAAAUCGGUGUGCACAUACUAUAUAGGUACUGUACCUACUAUGACGUAUGGAUGUGUAUACAUAUGUACAAUAUAUAUAUAAUAUAAUGCAUAAAAAUCCUGUUCCCGUAUACAUAGAAAUCAACAAAUCCUAGAAAAAUGUGUACAGAGCAUUAUGGUGGUUCAUGGCCGCUAGUAUUACCACCGUAGUAAUUCAAAUGGAUAAAGACGUAAUGUUAAAUAAGAA